RNAcentral lists this ribosomal RNA (250 nucleotides) under uncultured bacterium. RNAcentral's name for it is "partial 16S ribosomal RNA". It matches the Rfam family "Bacterial small subunit ribosomal RNA", at positions 524 to 773 of the family's 1533-position model. The record is from RNAcentral.
UACGUAGGGUGCAAGCGUUGUCCGGAUUUACUGGGUUUAAAGGGUGCGCAGGCGGGCUUACCAGUCUGUGAUGAAAUGUCAGGGCUCAACCUUGGCGCUGUCACGGAAACUGUAAGCCUUGAGCAUAGUUGAGGCAGCUGGAAUGAACGGUGUAGCGGUGAAAUGCGUAGAGAUCGUUCAGAACACCAAUUGCGAAGGCAGGUUGCUAGGCUAUAGCUGACGCUCAGGCACGAAAGCGUGGGGAGCAAAC